Paramuricea clavata is the source of this 1245-nucleotide non-coding RNA. The record is from the annotation of a GenBank genome assembly. Lineage: Eukaryota; Metazoa; Cnidaria; Anthozoa; Malacalcyonacea; Plexauridae.
AAAUUCGCAACUCCACAUAAAACCGUUAGGGUUAGUGUUAGUGUUUAUAGAGUUACGGUUAUUAUUAAGAAAAAGGUCAUCAAGUUUAGAUUAGUGUCAGAUUAAGAUUAGAUUAAGAUUAUAUUAGGGUUAGGGGUUGGAUUUGUGGUUAGAUUAGAUUUAGGGCUCAACAUGUGAUGUGUCGCGUAUUUAUUGUAUUGAUAAUUUCGGAAGUAUUUUGUAUGUGUUGGUGUUAUGUACUCAGGUGAAUAUGAUGUUUGUGAUGUUACUCUGAGUGUGCAUCCACACCGGGCAAGCUGAAAAGUUAGCUUGACCACGGUGGGAAUCGAACCCGCGACCUUUGGGAUACUAGUCCAAUGCUCUGUCAACUGAGCUACGUGGUUGAUGAUAUUUCGAAAUUGAUGAUAUUUUAGCUUGCCCGGUGUGGAUGCACACUCAGAGUAACAUCACAAACAUAAUUUCGGAAGUGUUUAACAAUUUACUCAUAUGGUAAAUUCAAAGGUCGAGCUCAUGCAUGCUGGAGAUCGAGUCAAGACAACUAGCUUUUUCACGGUCAGUCUAUCAUAUAAUUUAUUUCGAAGUUAAAAAUACACUAAAGACGGUUUUCCACUAGGCGAAAUUUUUCGAUCGAACCGAAAUUUCUAUUGUUCAAAUUCAAAAGAUUUCUGUUUAGUUCCAUCACGGUUCCAUCUGAGUGCUUGUAAGACAAAAGAAAAUUUCGAUUCGGUCGAAAAAUUUCGCCUAGUGGAAAACCGCCUUAAAGGCUGGUUUACACUAUCAAAGUUUCUGUGAUCACAGUAGGAAUUUUGCAUAGGUAAAUUAUACAUUUUGAUUUUUGAAGCAUUUCAUGUAAGAAAUGUUUGAGGGAACUUCAAAUCUUACAAUUUACCUUUGCAAAAUUGCUAUUGUGAUCACAGAAAUAAUCUGAAGCUGCCCGUGCCAGUGUGGUUAGUGCCAAUAAUAUAAACAAGCUUUCGUUAAUUGGUAGGGAUGCAACUACCUGAACAAUAUAAGGAGAAUUUCGACGUUGGGCCUUCGACGCUCAUUUUCUCCACAAAUUUGCUGAACCCGCUAAAUAUCAGUCUUGGAGAAAACUGGCGUGGACAUACCCACCCAGUCCACGCCCUGGCUGCUGUUAAGACUGAUAGGUUUCGAAGUAGGUUCGAAUUAAAUAACGUUUAUUUUGGUAUAACCGGGAAACGGACGUGAAGAAAAUGGCGGAAUGAACGUCGCAGGACUUGGGAU